RNAcentral lists this unclassified non-coding RNA (4051 nucleotides) under Orussus abietinus. RNAcentral describes it as "bTB/POZ domain-containing adapter for CUL3-mediated RhoA degradation protein 3, transcript variant X1". Lineage: Eukaryota; Metazoa; Arthropoda; Insecta; Hymenoptera; Orussidae. The record is from RNAcentral.
GAUGUACAUAUGUACCGUAUGCCUUUCGAGUAGCUCGUUGAGGUCAACGUUGAGUGCCGUUUUUUGUCCCGAGGACACGCCGGAGAUGUCGGUAACUAAUCUAACCUAGCUAAGAGCCGUGGCUCGCAUCAGUGUUCGCACGGUGGCAGCCCGAAAUUCGCGUGUACCCGUCGCAACGUCUCCGUUGCUCGUGUAUUAAAUGUUGAGUUUGACACUCGACAAAAUCGAUAUCUCGUCCUCACCGUCAUCGCCGCGCUCGUCGUCGGACGCGGAGGCGUUCUUGAUAAACGUCUUCGUCAUGUCGGGCGAUCACAAGACGGUCAUUAAGUAUCCAUCAGAGUACGUCAAGUUGAACAUUGGAGGGUCUCUGCACUACACGACUAUAGGGACACUGCGAAAGCAUGACACUAUGCUGCGUGCCAUGUUCAGUGGUAGGAUGGAGGUUCUGACGGAUUCGGAAGGUUGGAUACUAAUAGAUCGCUGUGGAAAACAUUUUGGAACAAUUUUGAACUUCUUAAGAGACGGGUCUGUUCCCCUACCUGAGAGUGCCAAAGAAAUGGCAGAACUGUUGGCCGAGGCAAAGUACUAUUGUAUCAGUGAGUUAGCGGAAUCAUGCGAGCAAGCUCUGCUCAAGAAGGAGCGGGAAGCAGAACCCAUUUGCCGCGUUCCUCUGAUAACGUCACAGCGGGAGGAACAGUUGCUUAUUAGCAAUACUAUGAAGCCUGUUGUAAAAUUGCUCAUUAAUAGGCAUAAUAACAAAUAUUCCUACACAAGUACAUCCGAUGACAAUCUAUUGAAAAACAUCGAACUCUUUGAUAAGAUGUCACUUAGAUUCAGCGGUAGAGUGUUGUUCAUUAAAGAUGUCAUUGGUUCAAGUGAGAUCUGUUGUUGGACGUUCUAUGGUCAUGGUCGGAAGGUAGCAGAGGUAUGCUGCCACUCGAUCGUGUAUACCACAGAUAAGAAACAUACUAAGGUUGAGUUUCCAGAGGCUCGCAUUUACGAGGAGACAUUAAACAUUCUUCUGUACGAGCAUCGGAAUGGUCCUGAUCAGGAACUUAUGCAAGCUACAUCUUCACGUGGAGCAGUCGGAGGUGGUCCACCCUGUACCUCUGAUGAGGAAGAGGGUGAGCGAUCGGGUCUGGCACGUCUUCGCUCCAACAAACAAAAUACCAACUGACCCUCUCUUGCUCUCCUUACUUCUUCCCAUCCAGCAAUCCUCAGUAUGGUCCGAUCCCUCAAAACCAGGGCAAAUAUCAAGUAAUGGCAUGUAUGAAUCUUGUGCCAAUGAAAUCACUACUUUGAUGCCACUCCAAACCUCGUAUUGAAGGUUGAUAAAUAGAUCCUUGAUACAUCAUUCACAAUUGAGUAAAAACAAGGUAGUUUGGAGGGGACCAUUUCGUCAUAGUGAAGUUAUGUGAAACCUGGAUGAAGGUUUACAGAGGACCCAAAAUAAUUGUUACUGUGACAAGUGAAUGUUAUCAGAAGAAUGUGUAUGUAUGUUGAGUUUGUGCCAAAAAUUGUUAUCAAAUGUGAGAAUGGCUCGAAGUCCCCUUUCUAUGAUGGAUCGAAUUAUUUUACAUUAAAUGCUUGAAGUAUCAUUACUACUUUUGAGCAGUAUUUGGAAACUAAAGUCUGUAAUUGCCUGUAGAAAAAUUACUUAUAAUGCUUAGAACAGCAGACCUUCCAGCUUUUCGUUAAGUCGUACAAAUGUGGCAUUUGCAGUUUUCUGCGGAUUUUUAUGUGCAGGAAUACACAUUUCCAUAAAGACCACGAGCAUUUAUAUAUUCUGGUAAUUGUAUUUACCAGGUAUUAACCGAAUUACAGAAAAGAUACACAUUCAGGUAACGCAACCAAAAAUCACAUUUUCACAUUUAGAAUCUCAAUAAAGCUCAAAUUUUCGUCAGUUAAACUAUUGUGUUUCACUCUAUAAUAAUUAACACAUUGUUCAUAUUAAUAUCAUUUAUACUCAUUUCUUGACAUACUACUGAAAGGGAGAAGCGGAAGAACCACUGCCAUUUGUUUUUACAACAUUGUAAGUUUAUUCACAAAACAGCUUUAGUUUCGGAGAAAGCCUAAAAAAAUACUAUGACCCAGAUUUUAAUUUAAGAAAUUAUGGAAAAAGAGAUAGAAGUAUUAAUCUGUUUAGGACACAAACUUUUCAUAAUACUAAAUGUUGAUUCAUCAUUUAGUACAUCUCUCCCACAAGUAGAAAUCUUUAACAGCCUAUAAUAAGAGAAUGUAACUUGCGCAGCAAUGGGCAUGGCAAAGUUAAAUGAUUUUGUAGUCGAUGCUAGUAACCUCUUUAACUCUUUGCAUUCAGAUAUCACCAAUGUGCCAACAAUCUGGUUAGUUAAAGAUAUAUGGAUGCAAAAGGUUAAUUGUUAGGAGAGCCAAGAUUCAAAUUCAUAUCACAUUCCUAUGGACAAUCAUGAUUAUUAUUCCGAAGACUUUGUAAAAGAUUAAGGCCAACCUAUUAUGUGAUAAUAUACCAGCACUUCGCAGUCGCGCAGAUUUUGUUGCACUUUGAAGACCCUUGAAAGUGAACUCGACUUUUGUUACAACAUACACAUUCGAGAUGUCUAUACAUAUCGCACUGAUGUUUCACAAAUUUUCUAUGUCAGUUUCGAAAGUAGGUUUCGUCCUUCCGCAAGAUAUCUCUAUAGAGUUUCGUGUGUCGGUCAGGGAAAUGCUAAGAAAGGUAAAAAUUGUAAUUGGAGUUUCCUGUGAGUGAGUACUGAACUUCCUGCAAUCACCCGAUGUUAUGUGUCUAUGCAGUACUACGUUGCAGACCUAACUUAGCUAGCACUUACCGAUGCUGUAAUUAUUGUAUCGUAAUGUCAAGAAAAAUAUGUGCUUGCGUUUCAUGAUACUACCGUGUAGGACACAGGGUAAUUAUUAUAGGUGAAAUGGAAACUUGAUAUAUGCAUAUAUAUACAUGUAUAAGUACAUUUAUUGUAAAUACGAAGAUUCAACGUCUAAGCUCUCGAUGGUUCGAUUAUGACGCACUUGUAAAGUUUACGCGAAACUUUCAGCGAUUAGGCAUAAACGAGUUUACCUUACUUCGACUUCGUGUCUGUAUAUACGGUACGAUAAUGAUUAUUUGUAUUAUAAAUUAUUGUAAUCAAGAAAUGCGAAAGUGUUGAGAUUUGGACUCUAGAAGUAUGGGAGUCGUAUAUGUAUACGUAUUUUAUUCGUCUACUGUAUUCUAGGGCCUUGGGAAGACUUAGGCCAAAUGGCAUCAACGACUUAAAUGGAAGUGACAUUUGUAAUUCUAUUGCGUCGAAUUUAAGUUUAACUUGAAUAGGUAAUGGGCUGAUUGCUUCAUUACCACUUUAUAAUUUACUUGUCAGUUUAUUAAUGCUUAUGAAAUACUUAGAAUUAAUGUACAAUGGACGCUUGAAUGGAAGUUCCAAUUGUUGAUAGACGUGCCGGUAGUGGGCUUUGAAACCAGUGACGUUACUACCGUUUAAAUAUUUAAUGUUACGAUGAAUUUGGUGGUUAUGUGCUGUUCAUUUUUUGAUACUUGAGUAAGCGGUCAGCAUGAAGUUUAAAGUUUCCUUAUCGUUAUGAAGUUUUUUGAUCGGGCAUGUAUGACAUCGUUCUAAGGAUGAUAAGUAAUGCACUUAACGCGCACAAAUCGUGAACAUAGACGAUUGGCUGUGGAAAUAUUCAUUUUCUACAUAUUAAACGUCAGAGAGACAAUAAACGGGCAGACAUGUUUAAGAAUGAACUUGUCUCUUCGAUUAACUUAACAAUUUUACUGUAGUAUUUUGAAGGACCUGGAGUUACAUUUAGUUUAAUGUAAAUUGAUGGUGUGAGUGAUCAUUUGUAAUUCACGUUAACUUUACUUAUUGUUUUUCCAUUGUGGUAAAUUGUUUGUUACGUAAUCUGAAGUCACGGGAGAGCAUGGUUCUCAAAUUUACUUGUUAUAUCACGAAUGUAUAUAUAAUAAGGAAGUAAGAAUGUAACAAUAGAGCAAGUGCCAAAAUCAUGUAAUGUGGUAGUCUGUAACUUAAUGAAUGCAUUGUACAUUAAAGAAUGAAACGAGUAA